Phoenix dactylifera (date palm) is the source of this 1005-nucleotide non-coding RNA. The record is from RefSeq and is a predicted model, not a curated record. Lineage: Eukaryota; Viridiplantae; Streptophyta; Magnoliopsida; Arecales; Arecaceae.
UUCUAUCGGUCGAGUCAGUCGAUGCCCUAGCUCCAUCGCCGUCUUCUCAGCUCCGUCGCGAUCCGUGGCUUCCCCGCUGCCGUCUUCCUCCUCCUUCUCCUCCUCCUCCUCCUCCUCCUUCUCGUCCUCCUCCUCUUCUUUGUUUUCAGGGCUUGCAAACUGAUCUCACCUCCAUCCGUAGCCUCGAUCGGCGAUCGAAGAUUCCGCUUCUCCGCCGCCGUCGACCUCGCCGUCGUCUGAGCUGCGCGCCGACAUCAAACCUCCAUCCCGAGCCCUAGCUAGUCGGCGGUCGUCUGAGGAAUUCCUUGGGAACUGGAGGGCUGUGCCUACUAGUACUGGUAAUUAAGCUCCUCUAACCUCUCUAUCACGCCCUUCUGCGUCCCCUUUUGACAGGAUGGCCUCUCAUCAUAUCCAAAAUGAGUUAGCUAUUUGCUGAGGCUUUAUGUAGUUUUGGAUCACCAAAAAGGGUGGCCUUCCGUGAACUGGGCUGAUGAGAUGCAACAAGAGCUGUAGGCUAAGAUGGAUCAAGCGAGGCAACUUCACAGAACAAGAGGAGAAGCUCAUAAUCCAUCUCCAAGCUCUUCUUGGCAAUAGAAUGGGAUCCGUGGGGUGUUCCAGAUGAUUACGAAUGUGAAGUCAUUGAGGACGAUACUCCAAUUCCGAAACAUGUUCCUCAACACCGACUUGCUCCACUUCCAGAAGAGUUCUACAAGACGCUGGAGGCGGUAAUGUCGAAACCUGCUCCAAAGGAUGAACCUUCCACUCAAUCGAAGGCUUAAAAUUAUGGUGUUGUUUGGCUUGAACAAAUUUUCAUAUUUGGAGCUAUUGUCAUGCCUCUUGGUUGCUGGCUUGCUGCUGUGGCUUUUAUGUCAAUGUUUGUCAUGGAUAAACUGGCUUCCUCUUAUGAGAAAAAUAAUGAUAAGAAAUACCUGCUGCUGAUGUAUCUUUAACUGAUGAACCUUCAUUGCCUUAAAUUUUUAUUGCCAUGGGUUGAAAAUUUAUGCA